AUUUUCAGUGUCGCAGCGAAACGAUAAACACACCGCCUGGGGAGUACGGCCGCAAGGUUAAAACUCAAAUGAAUUGACGGGGGCCCGCACAAGCGGUGGAGCAUGUGGUUUAAUUCGACGCAACGCGAAGAACCUUACCUGGUCUUGACAUCCUCGGAACUUUCUAGAGAUAGAUUGGUGCCCUUCGGGAACGCAGUGACAGGUGCUGCAUGGCUGUCGUCAGCUCGUGUCGUGAGAUGUUGGGUUAAGUCCCGUAACGAGCGCAACCCUUGUCCUUAUUUGCCAUCAUUAAGUUGGGCACUCUAGAGAAACUGCCCGUGAUAAGCGGGAGGAAGGUGUGGAUGACGUCAAGUCCUCAUGGCCUUACGGGUUGGGCUACACACGUGCUACAAUGGCAUCUACAACAGGAAGCAAAACGGCAACGUUAAGCAAAUCCCGAAAAGAUGCCUCAGUUCGGAUUGCACUCUGCAACUCGAGUGCAUGAAGCUGGAAUUACUAGUAAUCGUGGAUCA
RNAcentral lists this ribosomal RNA (512 nucleotides) under uncultured marine bacterium pC2-18. Its description in RNAcentral is "bacterial SSU rRNA". It matches the Rfam family "Bacterial small subunit ribosomal RNA", at positions 836 to 1351 of the family's 1533-position model. Lineage: Bacteria; Pseudomonadati; Pseudomonadota; Alphaproteobacteria; Candidatus Pelagibacterales. The record is from RNAcentral.